RNAcentral lists this unclassified non-coding RNA (1384 nucleotides) under uncultured Neocallimastigales. RNAcentral's name for it is "partial contains small subunit ribosomal RNA, internal transcribed spacer 1, 5.8S ribosomal RNA, internal transcribed spacer 2, and large subunit ribosomal RNA". The stretch from base 608 to 1384 matches the Rfam family "Eukaryotic large subunit ribosomal RNA", at positions 1 to 628 of the family's 3401-position model. Lineage: Eukaryota; Fungi; Neocallimastigomycota; Neocallimastigomycetes; Neocallimastigales. The record is from RNAcentral.
UUUCCGUAGGUGAACCUGCGGAAGGAUCAUUAAAAAAUGUGGUACCAAUUAUUGGUACUAAUUAAUCGUCCUACCCUUUGUGAAUUUGUUUGUAACGAAUUUUUUUUAAAUGGGUCUUUCCCUAAGUUGGAUUGUAGUAAAAUACAAAAAAGACUUAGGGGAAUGACUUUUUUAAAAGACUUUUUUUUAAAUUAAAACUUUUUGUAUUCAUUUGUCUAAAAUUUAUUUUUAUAAUAUAAAAACAACUUUUGACAAUGGAUCUCUUGGUUCUCGCAACGAUGAAGAACGCAGCAAAAUGCGAUAAGUAGUGUGAAUUGCAGAAUACGUGAAUCAUCGAAUCUUCGAACGCAUAUUGCACUUUUUUAGUUUACUAAAAAAGUAUGUCUGUUUGAGUAUCAGUAAAAUAUUCUCACAAACAAUUUGUUUUUGUGGUUAUGAGUGUUUUACAACGAUAAACAAGUUGUUUCACUCUAAAUUCUUUUUAAUUGAAUUUACCAACUCAUAAAUUAAAAUUGGAUAAAAUUUUCCUUUAACGAGGAAUAACCUAAACAAUUUUAAAUUUUAUGGAUUCAUAAACAUCAUCAAGGAAUCUAUACAACAAAUAACUUGAUCUCAAAUCAGAUAAGAGUACCCGCUGAACUUAAGCAUAUCAAUAAGCGGAGGAAAAGAAACUAACAAGGUUCCCUUAGUAACGGCGAGUGAAGCGGGAAGAGCUCAAAUUUGAAAUCUUCAGGUUUGACCUUGACGAAUUGUAGUUUAUAGAAGUGUUUUCUGUUGGAGUUUUGGUAAAAGUUCUUUGGAAUAGGACAUCAUAGAGGGUGAGAAUCCCGUAUUUGACCAUGACUUUCCAGCUGUGUGAUACACUUUCAAAGAGUCGGAUUGUUUGGGAAUGCAGUCCAAAAUGGGUGGUAAAUUUCAUCUAAAGCUAAAUAUUGGCGAGAGACCGAUAGCGAACAAGUACCGUGAGGGAAAGAUGAAAAGAACUUUGAAAAGAGAGUUAAACAGUACGUGAAAUUGUCAAAAGGGAAGCGUUUGACACCAGUGUUGUUUUCUCGAAAAUCAAUUUAAUGAGUUCUUGUUUUUAAGUUAUUGUGACUUUAUCAGCGCAUUUCUUAUUUUACUUGACUCAUUGAAUGCACUUUUCGUUUAACAAGUCAACAUCAAUUUCUUUGGUGGUAAAAAGUUUAAAGGAAGGUGGCUUGGACUUCGGUUCAAGUGUUUAUAGCCUUUUUUCUAUGCCAUCGGAGAGAUUGAGGUCUGCAGCGUAGAUCCUUCGGGGUUAGAUACCUUUGUGCUAAGUUAUAGUUUUUAUAGACAACUUGUUGACUAUAAUUAACCCUGUAAUUUACUCGCUUAGGCUAUUUUACCUACGCUUAGGAUGUUG